RNAcentral lists this ribosomal RNA (1124 nucleotides) under uncultured bacterium. RNAcentral's name for it is "bacterial SSU rRNA". It matches the Rfam family "Bacterial small subunit ribosomal RNA", at positions 47 to 1162 of the family's 1533-position model. The record is from RNAcentral.
AUUGAUUUUAUGCUUGCAUAAAUGAUUUUUUGGAUUCGGAGCGAGUGGCGGACUGGUGAGUAACACGUGGGUAACCUGCCCCGAAGCGGGGGAUAACACUUGGAAACAAGUGCUAAUACCGCAUAAUUAGUUGGAACCGCAUGGUUCCAACUUGAAAGAUGGCUCUGCUAUCACUUUGGGAUGGACCCGCGCCGUAUUAGUUAGUUGGUGAGAUAAAAGCCCACCAAGACGAUGAUACGUAGCCGACCUGAGAGGGUAAUCGGCCACAUUGGGACUGAGACACGGCCCAGACUCCUACGGGAGGCAGCAGUAGGGAAUCUUCCACAAUGGACGAAAGUCUGAUGGAGCAACGCCGCGUGAGUGAUGAAGGUUUUCGGAUCGUAAAACUCUGUUGUUAAAGAAGAACAAGUGUUAGAGUAACUGUUAACACUUUGACGGUAUUUAACCAGAAAGCCACGGCUAACUACGUGCCAGCAGCCGCGGUAAUACGUAGGUGGCAAGCGUUGUCCGGAUUUAUUGGGCGUAAAGCGAGCGCAGGCGGUUUUGUAAGUCUGCUGUGAAAGCCCUCAGCUCAACUGAGGAAGUGCAGUGGAAACUACAAAACUUGAGUACAGAAGAGGAAAGUGGAACUCCAUGUGUAGCGGUGAAAUGCGUAGAUAUAUGGAAGAACACCAGUGGCGAAGGCGGCUUUCUGGUCUGUUACUGACGCUGAGGCUCGAAAGCAUGGGUAGCGAACAGGAUUAGAUACCCUGGUAGUCCAUGCCGUAAACGAUGAAUACUAGGUGUUGGAGGGUUUCCGCCCUUCAGUGCCGCAGCUAACGCAUUAAGUAUUCCGCCUGGGGAGUACGACCGCAAGGUUGAAACUCAAAGGAAUUGACGGGGGCCCGCACAAGUGGUGGAGCAUGUGGUUUAAUUCGAUGCUACGCGAAGAACCUUACCAGCUCUUGACAUCUUCUGCCAACCCAAGAGAUUGGGCGUUCCCUUCGGGGACAGAAUGACAGGUGGUGCAUGGUUGUCGUCAGCUCGUGUCGUGAGAUGUUGGGUUAAGUCCCGCAACGGGCGCAACCCUUAUUAUUAGUUGCCAGCAUUUAGUUGGGCACUCUAGUGAGACUGCCGGUGAUAAA